AGGCUCGUAGCUCAUUGGUAGAGCGUCUCCCUUUUAAGGAGAGCGUAGCGGGUUCGAUUCCCGCCGGGCCUA
Molecule: transfer RNA, 72 nt
Filed under: bacterium
Lineage: Bacteria
Also listed under: 2 other names
Description: tRNA-Lys
Rfam family: tRNA
About the family: Transfer RNA (tRNA) molecules are approximately 80 nucleotides in length. Their secondary structure includes four short double-helical elements and three loops (D, anti-codon, and T loops).
Source: RNAcentral